AGCCCUAAGUGGGUGGUAAACUCCAUCUAAGGCUAAAUAUGACCACGAGACCGAUAGCGAACAAGUACCGUGAGGGAAAGUUGAAAAGCACUUUGAAGAGAGAGUUCAAGAGUACGUGAAACCGUUUAGGGGUAAACCUGAGAAACCCGAAAGGUCGAAGGAAGAAAUUCAUUCGCGUUUCGCCGCGGGCGUCGAGCGGGAUCGUGUGACGGGGAGCGUUCGCGCGUUUCCCGCGCCUCCCGUUCUUCGAACCGGUGACGAACGCGUGCACUUUUCUUCUGGUAGGACGUCGCGAUCCGUUGGGUGUCGGUCUACGGCACGCGGUGGAGCCCGUUCGUCGUAUUUCUAGUACGUACGGAUGGACCCGCGUGUUCCGGCCGACUCGCUCGACGGUAUACGAAAGGUUUAAGGCCGCUCUCGGAGCGUUCGGCUCGUGGCAAGCGCGCCAGAUGCGUCGGCGAUCGGACCUAGUGCCGUUUCUGACCUCUGGUGACUGUUGGCCGCGAAGUUCUCGAACAGACCUUAAGACCGAUCAGCGACGCUAUAGCUUUGGGUACUUUCAG
This 563-nucleotide ribosomal RNA is filed under the name Lixus fasciculatus. Its description in RNAcentral is "partial 28S ribosomal RNA". It matches the Rfam family "Eukaryotic large subunit ribosomal RNA", at positions 284 to 645 of the family's 3401-position model. Lineage: Eukaryota; Metazoa; Arthropoda; Insecta; Coleoptera; Curculionidae. The record is from RNAcentral.